RNAcentral lists this ribosomal RNA (465 nucleotides) under Vreelandella stevensii. Its description in RNAcentral is "partial 16S ribosomal RNA". It matches the Rfam family "Bacterial small subunit ribosomal RNA", at positions 338 to 795 of the family's 1533-position model. The record is from RNAcentral. Lineage: Bacteria; Pseudomonadati; Pseudomonadota; Gammaproteobacteria; Oceanospirillales; Halomonadaceae.
CCUACGGGAGGCUGCAGUGGGGAAUAUUGGACAAUGGGCGAUAGCCUGAUCCAGCCAUGCCGCGUGUGUGAAGAAGGCCUUCGGGUUGUAAAGCACUUUCAGUGGGGAAGAAAGCCUUGGGGCUAAUACCCUCGAGGAAGGACAUCACCCACAGAAGAAGCACCGGCUAACUCCGUGCCAGCAGCCGCGGUAAUACGGAGGGUGCGAGCGUUAAUCGGAAUUACUGGGCGUAAAGCGCGCGUAGGCGGUCUGAUAAGCCGGUUGUGAAAGCCCCGGGCUCAACCUGGGAACGGCAUCCGGAACUGUCAGGCUAGAGUGCAGGAGAGGAAGGUAGAAUUCCCGGUGUAGCGGUGAAAUGCGUAGAGAUCGGGAGGAAUACCAGUGGCGAAGGCGGCCUUCUGGACUGACACUGACGCUGAGGUGCGAAAGCGUGGGUAGCAAACAGGAUUAGAUACCCCGGUAGUC